Molecule: ribosomal RNA, 253 nt
Filed under: uncultured bacterium
Lineage: Bacteria
Description: partial 16S ribosomal RNA
Rfam family: Bacterial small subunit ribosomal RNA
Source: RNAcentral
UACGGGGGAUGCAAGCGUUAUCCGGAUUUAUUGGGUUUAAGGGUGCGUAGGCUGUGAGGUAAGUCAGCGGUGAAAUGCCCCCGCUCAACGGGGUGAAGUGCCAUUGAUACUGCCUUGCUGGAAUGCGGAUGCCGUGGGAGGAAUGUGUGGUGUAGCGGUGAAAUGCAUAGAUAUCACACAGAACACCGAUUGCGAAGGCAUCUCACGAAUCCGCUAUUGACGCUGAUGCACGAAAGCGUGGGUAUCAAACAGG